ACUGAACCUGCAAGACUGGGGUUAAGGGAGUGGGAUGAGCUCUAUAGCCCAGUGAGUAGAACAGUAAAACAAGUCAUUAAAAUAUGAUCUUAUGGAAUGCAUCAUAUCACAGACAAACCACAUCAAGGGUAAACCUGUCACCACAUAGUCCCAGUAUCUCAUACCAGGGCGUAGUCAAAGGCACCUGGAUUUCCUGUUUCAUAU
Molecule: long non-coding RNA, 204 nt
Filed under: Manihot esculenta (cassava)
Lineage: Eukaryota; Viridiplantae; Streptophyta; Magnoliopsida; Malpighiales; Euphorbiaceae
Description: long non-coding RNA (MESC_LNC011649)
Source: RNAcentral